This 237-nucleotide unclassified non-coding RNA is filed under the name fungal sp. RNAcentral's name for it is "partial internal transcribed spacer region". The stretch from base 1 to 46 matches the Rfam family "Eukaryotic small subunit ribosomal RNA", at positions 1786 to 1831 of the family's 1831-position model. Lineage: Eukaryota; Fungi. The record is from RNAcentral.
AAGUCAUAACAAGGUUUCCGUAGGUGAACCUGCGGAAGGAUCAUUCGAGAACAAGGUCGCAAGACCUUUGUAAUCCACACACACACUGUGAACCGUGACCGAGAGGGGGCGCCUGGACCGCGACCGCGGGCGAGGGCACAACUUCGAGGUCGAUUUUACACCACAUCCCACAGUUUUGUAAGAAAGGUUGGACACAUGUAACAUAUAUAACUUUUAACAACGGAUCUCUUGGCUCUC